RNAcentral lists this transfer RNA (104 nucleotides) under Colletotrichum salicis. It matches the Rfam family "tRNA". From Rfam's summary of the family: Transfer RNA (tRNA) molecules are approximately 80 nucleotides in length. Their secondary structure includes four short double-helical elements and three loops (D, anti-codon, and T loops). Further hydrogen bonds mediate the characteristic L-shaped molecular structure. tRNAs have two regions of fundamental functional importance: the anti-codon, which is responsible for specific mRNA codon recognition, and the 3' end, to which the tRNAs corresponding amino acid is attached (by aminoacyl-tRNA synthetases). tRNAs cope with the degeneracy of the genetic code in two manners: having more than one tRNA (with a specific anti-codon) for a particular amino acid; and 'wobble' base-pairing, i.e. permitting non-standard base-pairing at the 3rd anti-codon position. The record is from Rfam by way of RNAcentral. Lineage: Eukaryota; Fungi; Ascomycota; Sordariomycetes; Glomerellales; Glomerellaceae.
GGUCUGGUGGUGUAGUUGGUUAUCACGUCAGUCUAACAGCUCGAGAGCCUCGCCUCUCUCGUCUGCGACACUGAAGGUCUCCGGUUCAAGUCCGGGCUAGAUCA